UAUCUCUCCGUACGGGGAAGGAUGAGAAGCUUCGACUAAGGUUCGAUUCGAGCGCAGCGAGAAAGCGUUGCCGUAGGCAACGACCCGAAGGGCGAAGCGCGCAGCGCUGAGUAAUCCUUCCCCCACAACCA
Molecule: small RNA, 131 nt
Filed under: Salmonella enterica subsp. enterica serovar Agona
Lineage: Bacteria; Pseudomonadati; Pseudomonadota; Gammaproteobacteria; Enterobacterales; Enterobacteriaceae
Description: RtT sRNA
Rfam family: RtT RNA
About the family: This family represents a bacterial cis-regulatory element known as RtT RNA. The exact function of RtT is unknown although it is thought that it may be involved in changing the cellular response in relation to amino acid starvation.
Source: RNAcentral